UGCAAUUGUAUCCACCCGUAUUUCAACGUCUAUGAGAAGAAUACCCUCUUCAAUGUCCUAACAAGCUGCUAACAACUACCCUUGCAGGCGUUGAUUGAUGGGAUAAAAGAAGCACGCUGUGGAAUCGAACCACAAUCUUUUUCCUUACAUGGCGAAAGUCGAGAGUGAAAAUCUAGACUCGAAAGCAUACGCUUGUUAGAGGUGAUCCCCGC
Molecule: long non-coding RNA, 212 nt
Filed under: Nicotiana benthamiana
Lineage: Eukaryota; Viridiplantae; Streptophyta; Magnoliopsida; Solanales; Solanaceae
Description: long non-coding RNA (NBEN_LNC039733)
Source: RNAcentral